UUUUUUUUUGGGCUUUCUUGUUAAAUUACGUGAUUUCUCGUCCUUUUUCAUUUGUGCCUCUCCUUCCUUUUCACCAGAAUCAAAUUAGGGUUUUUUCUACUUCAUCUGGCUAGUGCCCUAAGAUUUAGUGAUUGAGUUUGGGUCUGAGUAGAGAUCUAACGUAGCUCGUAUCCUUCUUCGUCAUCACCAUCCUCUGUUCUGCUUCGUUCGUUCACCAUGUUCUGGAAGUUGACUGCUCUCUCUGCUGCUUCCCCGGUCGAAUCCAUAUUAGACAAGGAGACUUCACUUUGGAAGAACUCCUGGAUGAGGAAGACAUUAUCCAAGAAUGCAGAGCUUUUAACAGCCGUCUCAUUAAUUUGUAAUUCUUUAAGGCGUCCUCUCCUUGUAGUUAUCUGUAUAUCUUGUUUGUACUAUGACAUGUCUCUCUCUAUAUAUAUGAAUCCUUCCUGAUAAGAUUGAAGAGGAUACACAAGCCAGCAGAUAUUGCACACAAAAAAAAAAAGAUAGAAUCACUUCACCGUACCUUAUGUUUUCCUUGCAGGACCACCCUGGUAUACAAUGGGAGUUUUAGUUUCUCUUAGUAGUAGAAAGGGUUCGGAUGUUGGCCUUUUAUGCUUUUAUUUUAUAUAUGCUCAUCUGCAAUUUGAGAGAAAGUGUCCAAGUGGAACAGUUAUUACGUUUUGUUGUUGAAGAAUCUCCAGAAGAUGCUGAUAGCAAGCGUGCCUUCAAGUUUCCUUUCAUCUCCUCUGAAGUCUUGACUUGUGAGAUCGAUGUGAUUCUUAAGACUUUAGUGGAAGAGGAGGAGCACGAGACUCUCUCCACCUGAGCAAUCCCAUCCGCCGGCGAUCAUCUCUUUUUCGAUCAUCUCUUUUCCGACCAUCUCUUCCGACCCUCAGCCUUGUUCCGCCGGCCAAGUCUAUCCCUCUCACGGUUUUCCGGCCAGUUCCUCCACCUCUCUCUCAACCAGCUCAUCCGCGGAUCAGCUCUCUCUCACGGUGGUCCAUUCAGAUCAAUUUGGUGUUUUCUAAAAGGUAAACUAAUCUAUCCAUAAAAUCUAAGAACACCACAUAUCUGAAUCCUGAUUAUUAGAUCUAUUUGAAUCAUAAAACUUAUAAAAAUCUAUAGAUCUAAAAUUAUCACAAAUAUUAAUCUUGAAUUUAAGAUCUAUAUGAAUUUUGAUUCUAAAAUUAUUUGAAUCUCUAAAGAUCUAAGAAUCUUUAAAAACUUAUAAAACUUAUUAAUAAUCUAAGAUCUAUAUGAAUCUUGUUUCUAAGAACUAUUUGAAAUUAUAAAAGAUAUUAGAGAAAAUCAUAAACCCCUUUUAGCUAGCAAGCCUUAAAAUCGGUUCCCCUUUCUCCUAUUUUGAUCCGGCCUUAAAUCCGGAUUGACUAAAGAAUUGAAACCCAUAAUCUUUGUUUGGCCGUAUUACCGGCUGUAUAGCCGGAUGAAUAAGCUGGCCAUCAAAAUCUUAAUCCCAUUCGAUGUGCUUACCGAUCCAAAUCGGCCCUUAUCCACAUCAAAAUCUCAAACCCCCUUGUUUGUUUUAUAACCGGAUAUGUAUCUUGAUGGCCAUUAUACAUAUCAAUUCCCUAAAUCCUUUUUGCUUGAUUUUUAUCAAUCCCCUAAACUCUAAGCAAUAAUCGGCUGAACCCCUAAAUCCAAAUCCGACCAUCAUUUUUUUUCCGGCCAUGACCUUUUCCGGCCACAAUCUUUUCAGCCAUAAUCUUUCAGUCAAACCCAAAGAUAUCAAAAUUUAAAUCCUAAUCAAUGCAUAUCUUUGACCAUUGAUGUUUUAUAUUGUAACUGAUCAAAAUUUAAAACUUUUAUGAUUGUUUUCAAUGCAUAUCUUUGACUAGGUAGUAUUUAUCAAAAUAUUAUAACAUAUAGUCUUGAUUUAAAUAGUUAUGACAUAGGCUAAAAUAAAUACUAAGUUGAAAUCAUUUGAUCACAUAGUUGUUUGUCAAAAUUUAUCUAAAUCUAAACCGGCCUUGAAAUCGGUUCAUUAUAGUUUGAACAAAUGAUAUAAAUUUAUCUUGAUCUAAAAACCAACUUUGAAAACUGAUUUUGUGGUGAUUGAAUUAUAUACUGAUCAUAUAUAUAUACCUGAUAGCAAAUAGAUUAUAUGAUUUGGGGGAAAGCCUUAUUGAAAUCAUAUACAUUGAUUUAUUCUAUUGCUUACAUAGAAAUUCUGAGUGCUUGAAUUACUCGUUAAAUAUUCAGAUGUCGAGAUUUGAACCCUUAGAUUACUCUGCCUAAAUCUCUCUGGAGAUAAUUACCUAGAAUUGGUAAAGAAUACUCUUGUUGCCCUGAGAUCCAGAGGACUCGGACAAUGCAUCAAUGAGUACAAUGAUAUCAUUGACAGUGAAAGACAUAGAGCUACGUAGCAACUGACCCGAACCGAGUCGGUUGCUAUGUAGAGACUGACCAAGCCAUUUGUUUGGUCGCUACGUAGCGACCGAUCCAUCACGGACCCGGUCGCUACGUAGCGACCAAACUGUCUCGGACAUCGAUCAACGGGUACGACCCAAAUCCGUGCAUUCUUGUCUGUUCCUCAAUGCUAGCUCUAUGUACCGCAGUCAUAUCAUUUCUUACUCCCAUCGAUUGGAGUUAACAUUUAAACUUUACGAUAAAAAUCACGGAAAGUUCAUUCUUAUCGAUAAAAAUCGUGAUAAACGUUUCAAAUUGAAAGACGGACCAAAUAUGUCUAAAACACGAUUAGAAACCCACAUACGAUUUUUUAAGGAAAAGCCCAUAGAUACUAUGGCGGUUUUUACUUAGUCAACAAGAAAUGAUAAAUGUCAAGAUUCCGCAGAUAAAUGUUAAGUUUCCGCGGAUAAUCAUGAAAAUCGGGAAAAAUGGAAUAUCUCCAUUUUCGAGUUAUGACGGCUUAAGGGCAGGAAGGAAAAAGCUCAAACCGACCUUGGAGGGAGUAUAUAAGGAGUCCUAGGCGAGAGACACAAAGAGA
Long non-coding RNA from Brassica napus (rape), 2965 nucleotides. RefSeq lists it as uncharacterized. The transcript has 4 exons. The record is from RefSeq and is a predicted model, not a curated record. Lineage: Eukaryota; Viridiplantae; Streptophyta; Magnoliopsida; Brassicales; Brassicaceae.